Labrus bergylta (ballan wrasse) is the source of this 104-nucleotide non-coding RNA. Lineage: Eukaryota; Metazoa; Chordata; Actinopteri; Labriformes; Labridae. The record is from RefSeq and is a predicted model, not a curated record.
AUGACAGAGACGUCCUUUGUGUUCAGAUUGCUGGCCUCUGUCAUGACCUGGGUCAUGGACCCUUUUCCCAUCUGUAUGAUGGAAUGUUCCUCCCCAAAGCACUG